This 253-nucleotide ribosomal RNA is filed under the name uncultured bacterium. Its description in RNAcentral is "partial 16S ribosomal RNA". It matches the Rfam family "Bacterial small subunit ribosomal RNA", at positions 524 to 776 of the family's 1533-position model. The record is from RNAcentral.
UACAAAAGGUACAAACGUUGCUCGGAAUUAUUGGGCGUAAAGCGCACGUAGGCGGCAUCGUAAGUCCGAUGUGAAAGCCCCAGGCUCAACCUGGGAAGUGCAUUAGAUACUGCAAAGCUUGAAUCUGGAAGAAGAUCGCGGAAUUCCCGGUGUAGAGGUGAAAUUCGUAGAUAUCGGGAGGAACACCAGUGGCGAAGGCGGCGACCUGGGCCAAGAUUGACGCUAAGGUGCGAAAGCGUAAGGAGCAAACAGG